Molecule: ribosomal RNA, 253 nt
Filed under: uncultured bacterium
Lineage: Bacteria
Description: partial 16S ribosomal RNA
Rfam family: Bacterial small subunit ribosomal RNA
Source: RNAcentral
UACGUAGGGGGCAAGCGUUGUCCGGAAUCAUUGGGCGUAAAGAGCGUGUAGGCGGUUCAGUAAGUCUGCUGUGAAAGUCCAGGGCUCAACCCUGGAAUGCCGGUGGAUACUGUCGGGCUCGAAUCCGGAAGAGGUGAGUGGAAUUCCUGGUGUAGCGGUGAAAUGCGCAGAUAUCAGGAGGAACACCAAUGGCGAAGGCAGCUCACUGGGACGGUAUUGACGCUGAGACGCGAAAGCGUGGGGAGCAAACAGG